GACGAACGCUGGCGGCGUGCUUAACACAUGCAAGUCGAACGGUAAGGCCCUUCGGGGUACACGAGCGGCGAACGGGUGAGUAACACGUGGGUGAUCUGCCCUGCACUUCGGGAUAAGCCUGGGAAACUGGGUCUAAUACCGGAUAGGACCACUGCCUGCAUGGGUGGUGGUGGAAAGCUUUUGCGGUGUGGGAUGGGCCCGCGGCCUAUCAGCUUGUUGGUGGGGUGCUGGCCUACCAAGGCGACGACGGGUAGCCGGCCUGAGAGGGUGACCGGCCACACUGGGACUGAGAUACGGCCCAGACUCCUACGGGAGGCAGCAGUGGGGAAUAUUGCACAAUGGGCGCAAGCCUGAUGCAGCGACGCCGCGUGAGGGAUGACGGCCUUCGGGUUGUAAACCUCUUUCAGCACCGACGAAGCGCAAGUGACGGUAGGUGCAGAAGAAGGACCGGCCAACUACGUGCCAGCCGCCGCGGUAA
Molecule: ribosomal RNA, 478 nt
Filed under: uncultured bacterium
Lineage: Bacteria
Description: partial 16S ribosomal RNA
Rfam family: Bacterial small subunit ribosomal RNA
Source: RNAcentral